GGCACACUCCUGGCUACAUUAUACACAGACCCAGCACUAGAUGGCCCAUAUGGUCUACAUGUGACCCCUGCAGGCCAGGUGCUGGUCUGUGGACGCCUGUCCAACACUGUACUACAGGUGGGCUGGGAGGGAGAGAGUAAGCUGGCUAAUCUUGCUACUCAGGAGGAUGGAGUGUGGUGCCCACAGUCAGUCUGCUACAGCAGCACAACAUCAUCCAUCAUUGUGGGACAAUAUGGGGACAACAUCCUGGUGUUCAGAGUGGAAUAGUGUGUACAUUGGCUGCUGAGUCAGGACAAGGAUGCUGAGGAUGUGGUGGACAAGGAUGACCUGAAUACACAGAAGCUACUGCUCAGCAAAGAAGACAACUGUCUGGUGAAAGGCUGGCUGUAUUACAGUCCAGUGAUGUGGGGGGACGCGGCCUUUCCAUGUCCGGGGAUUGCAUUGUAGCGGACACUAACAAAAAAAGAGAGCCCCGGUUUUGAUAUAGAGUUGGUACGGCAACGGCACCAGCCAGGCCUGCAGAAGCCUCAAGUCAAGCACGACCACUCCCCUGACCCCUAGCUUCUCCCAUUUGACAUCCAGCUUCAAAGGGUCAGCAUCGUUGAACAAAUUCCUCCUAUAGAAAAUUUUGAGCACAAAGAGUUUUAACACAUGGUUCUCAACAACCACAAUUUUCGUGUCGAGUGAUCCGCACUUGAGCCUGAUUGGUUUGUUAGACCCGAGUGCCGGAGAUGGGACAACCGUUACAGACACAAGGCCUUAUUGCAGCAGUUAUGGCAACAUGUACGGUCAGUUCUCAAUGUUGGACUUCACAACUAAUAUCAUGAUAAAUACAAAGUUGGAUAACUCGUUCCAUUCUUUUUGGGACAAACAGUAGAACGGAAAGUAACAAGAGAAAAUCAAGGAAUAUUUGUAGAGUUUUAGUCAAAAGCGUAUGCUUACCACUGGGAUACUCCUGGACAGUCGUGACUUUACGGACAGUCCCGGUUUGUCCUCACAGGUGUCCAAACUGUCCAAAAAGAACGCACUUUUGACGCAGUUGCUAACAAAGAAAGGCACCACCGACUUUGUUGUGAACACUCAGAGCUUCCAUGGCCAUGCCUCUGGCGGGAAGUUCGACCAACAGCUGAAACAAGGUGCUAAAGGUGAACCCAUCAGGGUUUGUAACU
Molecule: long non-coding RNA, 1169 nt
Organism: Dreissena polymorpha
Lineage: Eukaryota; Metazoa; Mollusca; Bivalvia; Myida; Dreissenidae
Exons: 4
Source: RefSeq, a predicted model, not a curated record